UACAGAGGGGGCAAGCGUUGUUCGGAAUUACUGGGCGUAAAGGGCGCGUAGGCGGCCUGUUAAGUCGAACGUGAAAUCCCCGGGCUCAACCCGGGAACUGCGUCCGAUACUGGCAGGCUUGAAUUCGGGAGAGGGAUGUGGAAUUCCAGGUGUAGCGGUGAAAUGCGUAGAUAUCUGGAGGAACACCGGUGGCGAAGGCGGCAUCCUGGACCGAUAUUGACGCUGAUGCGCGAAAGCUAGGGGAGCAAACGGG
Molecule: ribosomal RNA, 253 nt
Filed under: uncultured bacterium
Lineage: Bacteria
Description: partial 16S ribosomal RNA
Rfam family: Bacterial small subunit ribosomal RNA
Source: RNAcentral